Molecule: ribosomal RNA, 460 nt
Filed under: uncultured bacterium
Lineage: Bacteria
Description: partial 16S ribosomal RNA
Rfam family: Bacterial small subunit ribosomal RNA
Source: RNAcentral
CCUACGGGAGGCAGCAGUGAGGAAUAUUGGUCAAUGGACGAGAGUCUGAACCAGCCAAGUAGCGUGAAGGAUGACUGCCCUAUGGGUUGUAAACUUCUUUUAUAUGGGAAUAAAGUGUUCCACGUGUGGGAUUUUGUAUGUACCAUAUGAAUAAGGAUCGGCUAACUCCGUGCCAGCAGCCGCGGUAAUACGGAGGAUCCGAGCGUUAUCCGGAUUUAUUGGGUUUAAAGGGAGCGUAGAUGGAUUGUUAAGUCAGUUGUGAAAGUUUGCGGCUCAACCGUAAAAUUGCAGUUGAUACUGGCAGUCUUGAGUACAGUAGAGGUAGGCGGAAUUCGUGGUGUAGCGGUGAAAUGCUUAGAUAUCACGAAGAACUCCGAUUGCGAAGGCAGUUCACUGGACUGCAACUGACACUGAGGCUCGAAAGUGUGGGUAUCAAACAGGAUUAGAUACCCGUGUAGUC